This 117-nucleotide ribosomal RNA is filed under the name Candidatus Omnitrophota bacterium. Lineage: Bacteria; Pseudomonadati; Candidatus Omnitrophota. The record is from RNAcentral.
CCGAGUAACCUUGCUGAGGGGGAAACACCCGUUCCCAUUCCGAAUACGGUAGUUAAGCUCCUCAAGGCCGAUGGUACUACACGGGCAACUGUGUGGGAGAGUAGGUAGUUGCUCGGU